AUAAGAGGUCCCGCCUGCCCUGUGACAUACGUGUUUAACGGCCGCGGUAUUUUGACCGUGCGAAGGUAGCGUAAUCACUUGUCUUUUAAAUAAAGACCUGUAUGAAUGGCAUAACGAGGGCUAAGCUGUCUCCUUUCCCCAGUCAAUGAAAUUGAUCUGCCCGUGCAGAAGCGGGCAUAACCACAUAAGACGAGAAGACCCUAUGGAGCUUAAGACACCAGGACAGCCCACGUUAAACCCCCUCACUUACGAGGAAUAAACCAAAUGGCCCCUGUCCCCCUGUCUUUGGUUGGGGCGACCGCGGAGAAACAAAAAACCCCCACGUGGAACGGGCCUACCCCCCUAAAGCCAGAGCCACAGCUCUAACAAACAGAAGAUCUGACCAAAAAGAUCCGGCAACACCGAUCAACGGACCCAGUUACCCUAGGGAUAACAGCGCAAUCCCCUUCUAGAGCCCAUAUCGACAAGGGGGUUUACGACCUCGAUGUUGGAUCAGGACCUCCUAAUGGUGCAGCCGCUAUUAAGGGUUCGUUUGUUCAACGAUUAAAGUCCUACGUGAUC
This 561-nucleotide ribosomal RNA is filed under the name Exyrias puntang (Puntang goby). RNAcentral describes it as "partial 16S large subunit ribosomal RNA". It matches the Rfam family "Bacterial large subunit ribosomal RNA", at positions 1845 to 2605 of the family's 2925-position model. Lineage: Eukaryota; Metazoa; Chordata; Actinopteri; Gobiiformes; Gobiidae. The record is from RNAcentral.